Megachile rotundata (alfalfa leafcutting bee) is the source of this 1479-nucleotide long non-coding RNA. RefSeq lists it as uncharacterized. NCBI's taxonomy places the organism in Eukaryota, Metazoa, Arthropoda, Insecta, Hymenoptera, Megachilidae. The record is from RefSeq and is a predicted model, not a curated record.
CUCCGUCUACGAGCGGAUUGCAUCGUUCAUCGGAUCUCCUCGUCGUUUUUUCUCUCUCGUUCCAGCAAACGCGUUCAGCCGAACUAAUGACACGUGGCACGCGCCACGGAAAAUCUUCCGACCAAGAACACGUCGGAAUUUCAGUGUUUAACGACGGUUAAAGAGGGUUCCAACGGUUUUACGAGGAUCGAGAAAGCGUGUUUGGACGAUCGAACACCCGGGGUUUCUCUCGGAGAUCUUUUACGAGAUACUCUUCAUUACGGAUUUCGAGAUAAAGACGUCAAAGAAUCAAACCAUCAUCAUGAGGUGUCAACUCACAACUAUUGAUACGAAGCGUGCAUCAUGAAGAUAAGGAUAUUGUAUUAACAUUUGACUUGUAUCUUGUCGCUGGACCACUGACUAAUUGAUGUAUUCAUUAAUUCAUGAUAAUGCUACAUGAUUUGCUGUUCAUAGACGCCCUGCAAGACGCUGGACUGCAUAAUCUAUUGAAUGUAUCCAAUGUAUGGAGGUAAUGUGUAAUCAAUAGUGCAUUAUACGUAAUUACUAAUGCAACACAUCAUACGAAUGUGAAGGGAUCAACGUCAAAUACCGAUCAAUUAGGAGUGAUUAUAAUGUCAUGGAUGCGCCAAAAAUGAAUCUAAAGUGAACAAAGAUGAAUGCUAACUGAAACAACACAAGGGAUUUCUCUUGAAAUUCAAUACUGUGUUAUUUGACAGUAAAAAUGAUACGAAACAAUAAAGAAAAUACAGAGAUACAAUAGUAGUAAGAUGCAGUCUCGUUAUAUGGCCCAGAUACCAAAUUCUUUUAGAUCCUCCAAAAACGAGUCCAAAAUCAGCAAAGUGGGAUACUAAACAAACCAAAACAAGAAUAAAGUAAUUUCUUCUGAAAAAUACAUGAUGGACUCCGUCAAACGACACAUCUCGUUUUGAGCACGCAUCCACCUAACUGGAGAGGAAAAUGGUGCUCGAAGUUUCAGUGUUAUCAAACCCCGCGAAUGCCGCUCAAGUAAGAGUCCUAUCUUUCGUAACGUCAACAGCACUUUAGGGGUUAUCCACUCUUUUUUCCCUCUUACGUAAUCUACGCGUCUCUUCGUUUCUCUUUUCUUACCUGUCACCGGAAUAACCCUCUUUCCUUCCAACCCUUAACGUUCGGCUCGAGUGCUCUCCAUCCACGGGGUUAUCUUUCACUCUGCAUAAGGAUUUACACGUGUUCGACACGUUUUAGAAAUCCACCUGUACUUUUUGUUGUCAAGCUUUUUGUUAUCAAGUAUAGUACUCCAAACUUGUGUCAUGGUCGAGGUCAGACUUAAUUCACAAAGUAGAUGAGUCUCAAUAAAAUUGUAAGAGGAGUUUGUGACAAAUACAUUUAUUAUAAAUAGUACAUAAAUGAUACAUAUGUACACAUGUGACAUAUUCAAACAAUGUGUUUAUCUGAAUUACUUAUAAAAUUGCAACUGGAGUUUGUAACAAAUACAUUUAU